This 92-nucleotide transfer RNA is filed under the name Parcubacteria group bacterium CG2_30_36_21. RNAcentral's name for it is "tRNA-Ser". It matches the Rfam family "tRNA". From Rfam's summary of the family: Transfer RNA (tRNA) molecules are approximately 80 nucleotides in length. The record is from RNAcentral. RNAcentral also lists the same sequence under 1 other name.
GGAGGAGUACUCAAAUUGGUCACGAGAAUAGGUUGCUAACCUAUCGCCGUGUAAAAAGCGGCUUGUGGGUUCGAGUCCCACCUCCUCCGCAA